Molecule: long non-coding RNA, 255 nt
Filed under: Homo sapiens (human)
Lineage: Eukaryota; Metazoa; Chordata; Mammalia; Primates; Hominidae
Description: HSALNT0255255
Source: RNAcentral
CUGCAGCCUUCAGCUGGGUCAGCUCCUGGUAGAUCUCCUGCUGCUUAGAUUUCUCUGGAAGCUCACCCACUGCAGCCUUCAGCCGGGUCAGCUCCUGGUAGAUCUCCUGCUGCUUAGAUUUCUCUGGAAGCUCACCCACUGCAGCCUUCAGCCGGGUCAGCUCCUGGUAGAUCUCCUGCAGCUUAGAUUUCUCUGGAAGCUCACCCACUGCAGCCUUCAGCCGGGUCAGCUCCUGGUAGAUCUCCUGCAGCUUAG